CCAAUUUUAGGCCCAUUUUCUAAAUUUUCCUUUAGCCCAUUAAACCCAAUAUACUACAAAAAACCCUAGCACACAAGAAAAAGGACCCUAGUCUUAUUUUUCAACCAAGGAACAUAAGAGAAAAACCUAGAAAACCAUAGGAGCAGCCUUCUUCUUUAGAGAAUAAGACCUUCUUCCUCAAUACGCACUACAAGACAAACCCUAGCUAGACAAGAUGACCUAGAAAAAAUCACACUACCCAAAAACCUAAUACUUUCACCUUUCCAGCCGCAUACCACCUGAGAACAGCUACCGGCCAGAUCUCCACUCAGCACCGCCAGUAUGCUGCGCCUUCUUCUGCCGCCGCUACAAACCAAAACACGCCGAAAAGAGACCAUCUCCAUCGUCACUCUAUCCCAGCGAACCUGCCGUUCCUAGCCAACCAGCCAUUGUCACACUACAGCCCCUCUCUCGCCCUCACACCAAACACCCCCCCCCCCNN
Molecule: long non-coding RNA, 481 nt
Filed under: Nicotiana benthamiana
Lineage: Eukaryota; Viridiplantae; Streptophyta; Magnoliopsida; Solanales; Solanaceae
Description: long non-coding RNA (NBEN_LNC027917)
Source: RNAcentral